AAAUAAGAAACAAAGACUUGUAUUUAGUUUCGACCUAAAAUUUUGAUGACAGCAUCCUUAUUUU
RNAcentral lists this transfer RNA (64 nucleotides) under Habrocerus capillaricornis. RNAcentral describes it as "tRNA-Arg". The record is from RNAcentral. Lineage: Eukaryota; Metazoa; Arthropoda; Insecta; Coleoptera; Staphylinidae.